Molecule: ribosomal RNA, 253 nt
Filed under: uncultured bacterium
Lineage: Bacteria
Description: partial 16S ribosomal RNA
Rfam family: Bacterial small subunit ribosomal RNA
Source: RNAcentral
UACGGGGGGGGCAAGCGUUGUUCGGAAUUACUGGGCGUAAAGGGCUCGUAGGCGGCCAACUAAGUCAUACGUGAAAUCCCUCAGCUUAACUGGGGAACUGCGUGUGAUACUGGAUGGCUUGGAUUUGGGAGAGGGAUGCGGAAUUCCAGGUGUAGCGGUGAAAUGCGCAGAUAUCAGGAGGAACACCGAUGGCGAAGGCAGGUCUCUGGGCCACUACUGACGCUGAGAAGCGAAAGCAUGGGGAGCGAACAGG